RNAcentral lists this ribosomal RNA (252 nucleotides) under uncultured bacterium. Its description in RNAcentral is "partial 16S ribosomal RNA". It matches the Rfam family "Bacterial small subunit ribosomal RNA", at positions 524 to 776 of the family's 1533-position model. The record is from RNAcentral.
UACAGAGACUGCAAGCGUUAUUCGGAUUCACUGGGCGUAAAGGGUGCGCAGGCGGCCGUGUGUGUGAGGCGUAGAAGCUGGAGCUUAACUCCAGAAUUGCACCUCAAACUACACGGCUAGAGCAUUGGAGAGGGUAGCAGAAUUCACGGUGUAGCAGUGAAAUGCGUAGAUAUCGUGAGGAAUACCAGAGGCGAAGGCGGCUACCUGGACAAUUGCUGACGCUCAGGCACGAAAGCGUGGGGAGCAAAAGGG